AUCUUUACUUGAACAUUGUCUUUGCCUUUCUAUGUUUUAACUUAAGAUCUAUGCUUUUUUACUUGUAUAUUUUGGUUUAUUUAUGGUUUUUGAUUUUUAGGUUUAAAAAUCACUGUUUCGCUGUGUUUGAAAACCAUCGAUCUGAGUCUGUUUGUUUCUUUUUGGUUGUUUUAUUUUCUAAUUUCGUGAGAGAGAGAAGCCCUAAGUUUUCUCUUUCGUUUCUGUUCGUUGAGAUUUUUGAAAUCCCUGCUUUAUCGGAGACUGAUUUCAGGACAUUUUCCAAACUCAGUGCGCCGUUCAUCGUCCUUCUUCUCAUCCAGUGUUUCAGGGAAUAAAAGAAAUCCAUAACAGAAGCGGUACUGCAGAAAAGUGUUUCAUAAAAAACCCCUAGCAAAAGCUUCGAUGCAGGCGUAAAACCCUUGUUCCCACCCCCUGUUUUCAUUCGUAAAGAAAAUGGAGGAACCAAAGAUUGGGGAUUGCGAAGAGUGCAAAAAGAAGGCGUCAAAAUACAAGUGCCCAGGUUGCUGCCUCCGCACCUGCA
This is a long non-coding RNA of Gossypium arboreum, 541 nucleotides long. RefSeq lists it as uncharacterized. The transcript is spliced from 3 exons. The record is from RefSeq and is a predicted model, not a curated record. Lineage: Eukaryota; Viridiplantae; Streptophyta; Magnoliopsida; Malvales; Malvaceae.